AUAUGCCUUAGGGUGGGGGACAACAGUUGGAAACAACUGCUAAUACCGCAUAACGUCUACGGACCAAAGGGGGCUUCGGCUCUCGCCCUUAGAUUAGCCCAAGUGGGAUUAGCUAGUUGGUGAGGUAAUGGCUCACCAAGGCGACGAUCCCUAGCUGGUUUGAGAGGAUGAUCAGCCACACUGGAACUGAGACACGGUCCAGACUCCUACGGGAGGCAGCAGUGGGGAAUAUUGCACAAUGGGCGCAAGCCUGAUGCAGCCAUGCCGCGUGUGUGAAGAAGGCCUUAGGGUUGUAAAGCACUUUCAGUAAGGAGGAAAGGUUAGUAGUUAAUACCUGCUAGCUGUGACGUUACUUACAGAAGAAGCACCGGCUAACUCCGUGCCAGCAGCCGCGGUAAUACGGAGGGUGCGAGCGUUAAUCGGAAUUACUGGGCGUAAAGCGUACGCAGGCGGUUUGUUAAGCGAGAUGUGAAAGCCCCGGGCUCAACCUGGGGAACUGCAUUUCGAACUGGCAAACUAGAGUAUGAUAGAGGGUGG
This 537-nucleotide ribosomal RNA is filed under the name uncultured bacterium. RNAcentral describes it as "bacterial SSU rRNA". It matches the Rfam family "Bacterial small subunit ribosomal RNA", at positions 124 to 661 of the family's 1533-position model. The record is from RNAcentral.